RNAcentral lists this long non-coding RNA (943 nucleotides) under Chlamydomonas reinhardtii. RNAcentral describes it as "long non-coding RNA (CREI_LNC001085)". Lineage: Eukaryota; Viridiplantae; Chlorophyta; Chlorophyceae; Chlamydomonadales; Chlamydomonadaceae. The record is from RNAcentral.
UCCUCUUGGCGAGCACUAUCACUCCGUGUCAUCAGCGGUCCUGUUCUGAGACUUCGGUGUCAUAGGAUCCUAUCCAAUGAAAAUCCUCUCGACCCAGCCCACCCUGCGCUCAACUCUCUGCCGCGUGACGAAUGGACAAUGUGCUUCGGCAGCCUUGUAAGGCGCGAACUCAUGCGCACCAGCGCUUCAGAGCCCAGCCGUGUCAAUGCGCACAGGUGUGCAUGUGUCCAAUGGGGAGACAUGUCCCGGGAGGUCCACGCCCGGACACGCAACUUCGCCUUCCCACGCUUUGUUUGUGCUUCUUAUUACGGCAUCACGUGCACAUAUGAGCCUCGUACUGCUGCGUUUGGCCCCUACUUCUGCUUGUGGGGCGCUUCCCGAAUCCGCCAGGAUGGGCUCCCAAAAACCGACGGACCUCCAGGGACGAGGACCGACCCCCCAACUUUGGCGGCCCAGAACUUCCUCAACCAGACACCCCCUUAGAAACCUAAAAGCACGUGCAUAAUGCUCUCCUAAAGCUCUGUAUUUUUGAGCAUGGGGUAAGAACCUGAGCUUUCUACACACACCCCUGCAUCCGCUAUCCCUAGACACAAACCUCACCAAACUGCCAACACGUGAAACUGGGGUCGUGGCCAAUUCGCCCGAGCUGACUCACGCCAAACACUACCCAUUCGACACGCCCAACCGCCGGAGAGCCGGCGAAUGCGACGCUGCCCACUAUGGCGCGUGACAGGCGUCAUGGGUAGCGGCCAUCCCAGCUGGCCCCCACGGAGUCAUGCCGCCCCGCAGAGGACACUCGUGGUUCUGCCCCCGUUGCCUCCACCCGCCGGGUGCUGCGAGGAGAAGAGAGCACGAACGAGGGGGUUGGAUCAGAGGAGAGCACAACAGACACCCCUGCAGCGCUCAUCGACCCACCUUUCCCACGCGCCAACUUCGCCCCACA